GAUGAAGAACGUAGCGAAACGCGAUAGUUAAUGUGAAUUGCAGAAUUCAGUGAAUCAUCGAGUCUUUGAACGCACAUUGCGCCCAUUGGUAUUCCGUUGGGCAUGUCUGUUUGAGCGUCAUUACAACAGUUCAGCGUAAGCUGGUUAUGAGUUCUGUUUUUUUAAACAAAAAACAGGCUUUAAAAUGUAUGUUCUGCAGGUCGCUUUGCUAAACCCUAAACAUUAAAUACUGUUCUAGUGAAGCAUUUGCGACUCUGCCUGAAAAAAAACUUUUAUUAAAGUUUGACCUCAGAUCAGACAAGGAUACCCGCUGAACUUAAGCAUAUCAAUAAGCGGAGGA
Molecule: unclassified non-coding RNA, 340 nt
Filed under: soil metagenome
Description: partial contains 5.8S ribosomal RNA, internal transcribed spacer 2, and large subunit ribosomal RNA
Rfam family: 5.8S ribosomal RNA (bases 1-120)
Source: RNAcentral